Molecule: long non-coding RNA, 731 nt
Organism: Betta splendens (Siamese fighting fish)
Lineage: Eukaryota; Metazoa; Chordata; Actinopteri; Anabantiformes; Osphronemidae
Exons: 3
Source: RefSeq, a predicted model, not a curated record
CUAAGGCGAACAGAGCGUCAUUGACACAGUCCGACUUCUCAAAGUGGAUGUUGAAGCGGAAGCCGGAGUACGGUCCGCCGUCCGCCUCCAGCGCGCGCUGCGCGUAAAAGAUCGCCGGCGACACUCUGUCGUAUGAAAACAGUAAAACGCACGCGCCCGUGGAUUCCUGAGUCGCGCCGUGCGCUUGACGAGCCCGACCUGGACCCGCCGGGCACCGCGGGGAUGAGCGGCGGCAGCUGCAGCGCUCACCUUCUGACUGAGCCUCGUUCAGGCGCUUCGGCGGGAGCCCACGGAGCUGCGGUCACGUGUGCAGCCGUGGAAUGCGUCCACACCUCCAGGCAUGUGGCAGAGCUGCUCCGUGCUCUCGUGCUUGUUCUACACGGGCUGUCUGUACAUUUUACAAUGAAUCAGCUGAGCUGGAUGCUGCUCACGUUCGCUGCUACAGAGCGUGAUGUGUGGACAGAUGUGGCUCGAGGCUCUAAGGCUGGAAUUCCCAAACUCCACUCAUCUGUGGAAGCGUCACUCAGACCUGGCUUUGUCCUCCCACAGACCGGAGAGGAAGCAGGAAGCAGCAGCUCGGUCACAGACAAAGGAACCAAGCACUCACCUGCUUCAACCACAUGUUCACUUAAGGUUAAGAUGGUCUGGUUAAGAAACGUUCCUGCUAAAAAGCGAAUUUGAAGAAAAAAAAAGUUAUUAUGCCAGAGGCCUUCCUGAUGCAACCUCUCUCU